Molecule: small nucleolar RNA, 108 nt
Organism: Eutrema salsugineum
Lineage: Eukaryota; Viridiplantae; Streptophyta; Magnoliopsida; Brassicales; Brassicaceae
Rfam family: Plant small nucleolar RNA R71
About the family: R71 is a member of the C/D box family of snoRNAs containing the C (UGAUGA) and D (CUGA) box motifs. Multiple nearly identical copies of this snoRNA have been identified in Arabidopsis, and it is thought to function as a 2'-O-ribose methylation guide for 18S ribosomal RNA.
Source: Rfam
AACCCAUGGUGAGGGCACUCUCUUCGGUACUCCUUGUACCUUUCCCAAGCUUCGCAGAAAGCUUCACCAGGUUGCUGUUUAAAUGACGAGAUCUUGUUCUUCAUAGCU